Pelobates cultripes (western spadefoot toad) is the source of this 129-nucleotide non-coding RNA. Lineage: Eukaryota; Metazoa; Chordata; Amphibia; Anura; Pelobatidae. The record is from the annotation of a GenBank genome assembly.
UUUUGUUUUUGCCCCAAUUUUUCAUGAGCUGAACUCAAAGAAGUAUUACUUUUUCUAUGAAGGCCUUUUGUGUGCAUAGAAAAAGUAAUAAAUCUUUCAGCUCAUGAAAAAUGGGGGCAACAACAAAAG